Molecule: long non-coding RNA, 5475 nt
Filed under: Nicotiana benthamiana
Lineage: Eukaryota; Viridiplantae; Streptophyta; Magnoliopsida; Solanales; Solanaceae
Description: long non-coding RNA (NBEN_LNC017947)
Source: RNAcentral
CAGAAAGAGACAGAAACACGUGAGAGUGGCAAAGAAUACAAGGAAUUUAGUUUUCUUGUUCUUUCACGGUUUACCUACGGGUUUUGAGAAAAAUUGUUCAAUUUGUUCACGUGUUUCAUUGAUCAAAGAGUUAAUAGCAAGGAUCGGUCUCGGUGUGGAUACGCAUAGAGUCUUCGCACUAUCGAAGAAUUUUGAAACGAGACUUUCUUCAUUGAUCAAAAGUUGAUAGCAAGGAUCGGUCUCGGUAUGGAUAUGCAUAGAGUCUUCGCACUAUCGAAGAAAUUUAAAAAGAAACUCUCUUCACCAGGUACGUCUUUGAUCCGAUCUUUGACACGUAAAUAAAUUUUAAACAUGAGAAAAUCUACCUAGGAUUGUUAUUGUCUUCCGCUGCGUAUUACGAAUACCUAUACGCAAUCCUUCACGAUCUACUUAGGGCCACGAGAUUGUGAAGAUCGAAAUACCAUACCUUUUUCUUCCCUUCACCACACAACGCUCCACCUGAUCAAUUUUCUUCCUCAAUCAAAAGCUGAGAUUGAUGUUUGGUGCCGGUCCUGAAUUUUUCCAGACUCUCACAGUUGAAAGAUUUUUCCAUUAUUGGGUUCAAUGAGUUUAAGGAACUUGGAAGGGGAAGUUAUGGGGAAGUUCAAAACUUAGCUUCAACUCUAUAGUGAUAAAAUAUACAACUUUCGGUUAUUUUCACGGUCUGAAAAUAAAAUAAAAAUUAAAAAUGGAGCUUCAGAUUUUUAAAAACAGAGGAAGGUGAUUUUUUGUACUGUUGGGCGUUGGGAAGGGAGUUUUCAUGCUCCUCUGCGUCGUGCUCCUCACGCGGGCUACUGAUUAGGACCAACUAACGCUACAUGGGUAUGAUCAAUGAUCAAAUAUGUUUAUUAAUUAUGGAAAAAACGAGUUCGACUGUUCAAAUGAAAAAAUUAUAAAUAUGUAUCGAUUUUUAAAAAAUCCAACAUGUUUAAGUGGCCAGAAAGUUAUUUCGCCUUAAAAUCCGCCGCUUUUCCACUUACCCUGAAUUAUUGAAUCUCCAAAAAAAGGAAAAAGAACAUCUACAUAUGCUAUGUGUUAGUUAAUAAGGUUUCAUGUAGAAAAUGCAACAAUAGGGGUGGUGGCGCAGUUGGCUAGCGCGUAGGUCUCAUAGCUUCUAGAAAUCUUGAGGUCGAGAGUUCUUCUUUUAUUUUGCUUAAAAGUGCUUCACCUUUUCCUUUUUUAUCUUUUUCAAUUUCCUCUUAUACCUUUUUCUUUUUGUUCCGAUAAAUGGCUGCCUUCUUAGUUACCAUGAGGCUUUUGCCUUCGAUGAUGAGGUUGAGAUCAGAAAAUAAUGAGAUUUCAAUCCAACUCUUGCCCAUAUGUGGGAUUCUCAGUGUUGCGCACUCGUUACUAAUGUCAAGUAGUUUAGUGUUGACAAUUCUCCCUAUAUAGGUUGCACUGGAGUGGAAAAUUGGCAAUACAAAAACAAGCAGCAAUAUUGAAUUACAGCCACAUGGGGCUCUUGAGGAGAAGUUACAAGGUAACACGCAGAAAUUGGAUAGAAUUACAAUUCAACCUCAAAUCAGUUUUGAUGGAGAAGCAAAUGGUUAAAUCUAGAAUAAAUAUUGGAACGUAAUUAUUUGUCCCUCUUGUUCUUUCUCAGCAUUUCGCUGGGUGUUGAUAUAGUAUGUUAUACAUAAUCAACCCUCAAAAUUGCCUAUGACUACAAGUCUACAACUAUGCUACAUAGAAUCAUUGAGGAAUCAAAGCUAAUAUCUUCCGUGCAUGUAUGUAGAGCAAACAGCAGAAGUAUCUGAAAUCCAAAGCACAAUAAUGUUUUGGAAGUAUCAAAAAGGGAAAACAACCCAGCAGUUGCUUCAGCUAGGAGCUAUCUCACACUGUUGGGAGUUUUAGCCUUGUUUAGAUUGGCAAGUUCUUCUAUGAGCUUUCUCUCUUCACUGCUCAACCGUUUUGGAAUCUCUACUUGCACUCUCACCAAUUGAUCACCCCUCAUAUUCGGUUUGCUGAGGUAUGGCACCCCUUUUUUGGCCAUCACAAGUGUUGUCCCUGGCUGGGUACCUGAUGGAAUCUUUAGAUCAACCAUUCCAUCUACUGUAGGAACCUUCAUAGUUGUACCCAAGAUCGCAUCAAUAUAAGAAACUUUGCAAUUAUAGAGGAUAUUGGUGUCGUCCCGUUUUAGUACAGGAUCUGGGAGAACUUCAAUCAUGACAAAAAGAUCUCCAGGGGGUCCACCUCUCCUUCCUACAUUACCUUCUGAACGAACUCUUAAACGGCUACCUGAAUCUACACCAGGUGGAACUUUCAAACUAAUGCGCUUUGACUUCCUCACUCUGCCAUCACCAUUGCAGGUGCUGCAAGGAGUAGAGAUCUCUCCAGUCCCUCCACAAGCAGAGCAUGUUGUCACCUGCUGGAAGACACCCAGUGGGGUUCUUGCUGACGAAACAACCUGCCCUUGUCCACCACAAGUAUUACAUGUCGAUGGUUUAGUCCCAGGUUUUGCACCUGAUCCAUCACAGGUGCCACAGGUUUCAAGCCUGCUUAUUUCUAUCUCCUUCUCAACACCAAAUACAGCGUCUUUGAAAUUCAACACCAGAUUAUAGCCCUGGUCUUCACCUUCGGUGGCUCGGUUCCGUGAACCUCUGCCUCCCAUACCCAUGCCACCCAUACCACCAAAGCCGUCGAACAAAGACUCGAACAAAUCAAAGGCAUUGCUAAAAUCCUAUGAAUAAAGAACAAUACGUCAAGAUUACAUGGGCAAUAUAACCAUCUGCUACUAUUGCUAAUUUUCUCAUAAAACAAGAAAUUCUCACCCCCAUGCCACCCAUGCCAGCUCCUUUAAGGCCAGCCUCCCCGUAUUUGUCAUAUAUGGAACGUUUCUCAUCAUCGGACAAAACCUAUAGCAAAAUAGUAUAUGCCAUAAGAAGUGAUUGCAAUAUUCUUCCAUCAUGGUCGUCACUAUUCAGUCACCUUUUAAAAGCACACAAGGCAUCAAGAGAAAUAAAACUACCUCAUAAGCAUUGCUGAUCUCCUUAAAUUUCUGUUCAGCUCCAGCUUCUCUACAACACGAUAAACAUGAAUGCACAUAAGGAUCUUACAUACUGUAAAAAUAAAAUACCACAUUAAAAAUAACGGCGCACCUUCAUAUGAAUAUACACUUACACAUGUCAAUAGGAAACUAAAGCUUGUAACUUACAACAAAUAACACUUAAUAAUAAUCUUGAACGUCUCACUUUUAUUCUUUUUCAGAAGAUAGAUUUCACUAGUUGGUGUGACCUUUCCAGUAAAAUGCUCCAUAGCAAUUUCAUUUCUUUGAUCAGUUACAGAGAUCAAUGACCAAAUACUUCAAUUGUUAUUGCAGCCCCGCCUUUCUUUUUACUAAUCGAAAAAAUAACCCUUAGAUUUCAUGGUUGGAAUCAUAUGAAUAUGUUCUGCUAAUUUCCGUAUAUUUCAAACAUAUUGCAGAAGCAACAACAACCACGCCCAAGUCCUAAACAAGUUGGGGUCAGCCAUAUGAAUCUUCAUGCCUUUCAUUAAGCUCGGCUCAUAACAUCAUCAUCGCCAAACUAAAAUAAAGUGCAUGUACGAAAAGAUAAUAUAUAUAAAAAUAAUAAUAAUGAUAAUAAUAACAACAAUAAGAAUAGAAGGUCUCUACCAUGUCUAAAACCUAUUCCCAACUAAUAAGUAUCACCUAUAUAGAUUUUCCUCUUCAAUUGUGCUAAGUCUGUAUUGAUUCCACGGAUUUGUAGGUCGGCCUACAAAUCAUUGGAAUCACUGCAGACUUAGCUAGGCCAAAAGACCUACAAAUCCUUGGAAUCAAUGCAAACUUAGCUAAAGAUAGUACAUAAUGGAAGAGGAAAAUUCAUACAGGUAAACUGUAAAAAACAUGCUAGUAAAAAACAAUUAGUGGCUUUUCAUGUAUAGAGACAAACAAUUAGUGUAAGGACACAAUAUUGUGGUUUUUCAAAUAACGAUGAGACAUAUACCAUGGCAAUACCUCGCAGCAGCAACUUGCAGCAUUUUCAGAAUGUACCCUCUCAAAGAUAAAAACACAACCUGGAUCUUCUCUCUAGACAAGAUCUGCUAAUUUACGGUAGAUUUCACAUGUCCACUCCAAAAUAACCAACCUAAGAAAAUCUCAAUGAAUCCAUCUUCCCCCAUAACUAUACCUUAAUUUCUGAACCAUCACUUUCUACUAUUAUUUUCCGCACAAAAGAAGGGGAAAAACAAAGUUGUAAAGAGGUCAAUCAUCUGAUCUUGAGCGGGUAAACGUGAUCCUUCGACAAGAUACAGAAGUAAAUUUUAAAGCUAGAGAAAAAGCUAAGUAUGUACUACUCCAUUUCAUUUUUCAACAACAAGACCACAGUAGAAGGCAUCACAUCUCAUAUUUACAGGAACUAUAAGCAAAAUCCAUGAAAGAAUUCAACCAACUGAUCUUGAAUAGGUAAACAUGACUCUUCAACAAGAUACAAAAGUAAAGUGAAAGCUAGAGAAAAGGCCAAAUAUGUACUACUUUAUACCAUCUUUCAACAAACCACAGUAAAAGCAUUCACAACAGAAUUCCAGGAACUAUACUUACUUGUUCACAUCAGGAUGAUAACUCCUUGCAAGCUUUCGAUAUGCUAAAACAACGAAAAAAGGGAGAAUUAGGAACAUAACAUGACAUCCAACAAUGUACGUUUUUCAACUACUUGGUUCUAAGAGCAACCUAUAUAUAGUUCUAAACUACAGUCACAAUUCAAAGAUACAAGUGACUAGCAGAAAAUAGUUUGAGUAUGUAAAUGAAGGUGGUACUCACCAUUUUUUAUUUCUGACUUGCUAGCAUUUUUAGAUACACCAAGGACAUCAUAGUAAUCCUGUGAAAUAUGUAACAACAUUCAACCAGCUUUACUAUGCAUAUUUAUUUACCAAGUCGCACACACACAUAAAUGUAACUCGUAUUCUGAUCACAGAAUCACAAUCUACGAAUGGGUUUUGCAUCCUGCAUAGCAUCUUACUUUUUCAGCUCUAACAACUAAUCGGGUCCCCCUCCGUUGAUAUUGAUUCUUGCUUGACACUGAACUGAAAAGUGCUUGCAGGGAAUCUUGACAAAAAAGGGUUGAACUUGGGGAUGCCAAUGCCCUUAUCUUGCUUGAGAAACUGCAUAGACGAUAACAAGGUCAAGUGUGGACAGUUACCAGGUAGAUACGGGAGUCAUCUCUUGAGGUAGAAAACAUGCCAAUUAUCCAUAAGCUUAUUAAGUAGAAAAGGUACAAUUUACAAAAAGAAUUUGAACUUGCGCCUAACAAUAGGGAAGAAUCAAUGUUCAAUCCUCUGUUAUGUCAUAAAGGCCAAAAUAGCAAGUAUGCGCUUAUGUGCAUAAAAAGACAAGUCAAGUUCUAACAAGCAUGGCUGAUCAAAUUACAGAGGGGCUCCUCCAAAAGAGAACACGUGAACGACAUACUUCUCCUUACUUUUUGGAUCAACCAUGGGAUUGGG